This is a long non-coding RNA of Aricia agestis (brown argus), 413 nucleotides long. RefSeq lists it as uncharacterized. NCBI's taxonomy places the organism in Eukaryota, Metazoa, Arthropoda, Insecta, Lepidoptera, Lycaenidae. The transcript is spliced from 3 exons. The record is from RefSeq and is a predicted model, not a curated record.
AUACAACGUUUUUGGAAUAAGAUUCAUUUUAGCUUGACUGCGUUCUGCUUUACGCAAAAUAUAGUAGUUUCGCCUACUAUUUUUUAGAAAUAUAGUAUUUGAUCCCUUAAAAUAGUAGGAUACUAUAAUAUUAUAUAGUAGGUUUGACAACCCUAGCGACUCAGUCGUUCUGCAGUUCCUAUGAUUUCCCGUCUUGGCUGAUGGCUCAUUCAUUUGCAACGCAGUGCGCAGAGGUAUCAUCGUGGUUUCAGCUCAGUACAUCAAAAGUGUAUGGGAAGAUAAAGGAAUAGUUAAAAAUGCUUGAAAAUUAGAGAAGUUCAUCAAAAAUCACAGCGGAACGCAGAAAAAGGAUUAGACCAGGCAUUAUUUAAUUAUCGGAUGAUCAAUGAUGAAGAAUUCUACAUGACACAAAC